CCUACGGGAGGCAGCAGUGGGGAAUAUUGGGCAAUGGAGGAAACUCUGACCCAGCGACGCCGCGUGCGGGAUGAAGGCCUUCGGGUUGUAAACCGCUUUCAGUAGGGAAGAAGCGAAAGUGACGGUACCUACGGAAGAAGCACCGGCUAACUAUGUGCCAGCAGCCGCGGUAAUACAUAGGGUGCAAGCGUUGUCCGGAAUUAUUGGGCGUAAAGAGCUCGUAGGUGGUUCGUCACGUCGGAUGUGAAAAUCUGGGGCUCAACCCCAGACCUGCAUUCGAUACGGGCGAUCUAGAGUGUGGUAGGGGAGACUGGAAUUCCUGGUGUAGCGGUGGAAUGCGCAGAUAUCAGGAGGAACACCAAUGGCGAAGGCAGGUCUCUGGGCCAUUACUGACACUGAGGAGCGAAAGCGUGGGGAGCGAACAGGAUUAGAUACCCUGGUAGUCCACGCCGUAAACGGUGGGCACUAGUUGUGGGAACCUUCCACGGUUUCUGCGACGCAGCUACGCAUAGUCGCCCGCCGUCGGGUAGGUACGAGUCGCGAAGAAGUUAAACGUACGAAAGGUAAGUUAGUACGGCGUUGAGACGUUGCCGACGGCGACGACGAGGGAGGAGG
Molecule: ribosomal RNA, 615 nt
Filed under: uncultured bacterium
Lineage: Bacteria
Description: bacterial SSU rRNA
Rfam family: Bacterial small subunit ribosomal RNA (bases 1-521)
Source: RNAcentral